Molecule: long non-coding RNA, 609 nt
Filed under: Mytilus galloprovincialis (Mediterranean mussel)
Lineage: Eukaryota; Metazoa; Mollusca; Bivalvia; Mytilida; Mytilidae
Source: RNAcentral
CUUUGGGUCAGAGGGCAUGACUCCUUUCCGUACACACUCCUCUGUUUAAAUUGAGAUCGUUCUUAAUAUAAUACGACGUUUAUCGACAUCUAACGAGUUAAUUUUUCUUGACGAGUCGUAUUGUAUUUCGAUUUUGACGGAAAAUACUUCCGGAAGGGAGACAACUCGAAACGAUAAUAUGGAAGACUCCAUUUCGGCUGAAGGGGUGUUAUAGGUAAAACUUUUAUGCAAAUUAUGCAACAACAAUAACCCUCAAUAGCAGACAGACAUAGAAAGAAUCCCAUGAGUUUCAAAUUAAUCAAUGAAGCGGGGAAUCCAGAGCAACCACUCAAUCUGAUACCCCUUGAAAUCAAGAAAACUAUACGCAUGCGCAUUAAUACAUAAACAAACCCGCGACUUGCGAUUUGGAACAAGAACGUUUAUUAAAUGAUAUGAUGAAUGGUUCUCCAUUUCUUUAUGAGAGUACAGUAUCAAAUAUCAGUUUCAUAACGGUAAAAUAUAGAAAAACUCCACUUCAGUUCUUAUAUGACAGAAAUAGAAUUAUCGGAAUUCAGAGAACUCUCGCAUUUAUCAAAACUGGGGAAUUCCCUCUGACGUGUUUCUAAAUUU